AUACUUGUAUCUCCCCGAUUCUGUAAUUGUCAACACAAUUGUCUGCAAUCUAUGAUAGUUCCUCUCAUUCUUCUCCACCGACAACGUAGUCUCGCACCCUUUCCGCGUGAUGUGUCCUAUACACCUCUGCUCUCUCUCCUCCAUCACCCGAGUGUUGCUCUCCCUCCCCACCAAACGUGCGGAGCAGCCUGUGACUGUCACAGCUCGUAGCUUAAAGCGGCAUCACAACAAAGCUAUGUCUCUG
Molecule: long non-coding RNA, 244 nt
Filed under: Olea europaea (common olive)
Lineage: Eukaryota; Viridiplantae; Streptophyta; Magnoliopsida; Lamiales; Oleaceae
Description: long non-coding RNA (OEUR_LNC013453)
Source: RNAcentral